RNAcentral lists this non-coding RNA (26 nucleotides) under Mus musculus (house mouse). Lineage: Eukaryota; Metazoa; Chordata; Mammalia; Rodentia; Muridae. The record is from RNAcentral.
UAAGUCUGUUUCCUCAGAGGAGCUAA